UUGCCAGACUCCUACGGGAGGCAGCAGUGGGGGAUAUUGCACAAUGGGGGAAACCCUGAUGCAGCGACGCCGCGUGGGCGAAGAAGUAUUUCGGUAUGUAAAGCCCUAUCAGCAGGGAAGAAGAAAUGACGGUACCUGAGUAAGAAGCACCGGCUAAAUACGUGCCAGCAGCCGCGGUAAUACGUAUGGUGCAAGCGUUAUCCGGAUUUACUGGGUGUAAAGGGAGCGUAGACGGCCAUGCAAGCCAGGGGUGAAAGCCCGGGGCCCAACCCCGGGACUGCAUUUGGAACUGUAAGGCUAGAGUGUCGGAGAGGCAGGCGGAAUUCCUAGUGUAGCGGUGAAAUGCGUAGAUAUUAGGAGGAACACCAGUGGCGAAGGCGGCCUGCUGGACGAUGACUGACGUUGAGGCUCGAAAGCGUGGGGAGCAAACAGGAUUAGAUACCCGAGUA
Molecule: ribosomal RNA, 449 nt
Filed under: uncultured bacterium
Lineage: Bacteria
Description: bacterial SSU rRNA
Rfam family: Bacterial small subunit ribosomal RNA
Source: RNAcentral